GCCGCCUUAGCUCAGUUGGCCAGAGCAGCUGUCUUGUAAACAGCAGGUCGUCGGUUCGAGUCCGACAGGCGGCUCCA
Molecule: transfer RNA, 77 nt
Filed under: Streptomyces hainanensis
Lineage: Bacteria; Bacillati; Actinomycetota; Actinomycetes; Kitasatosporales; Streptomycetaceae
Also listed under: 4 other names
Description: tRNA-Thr
Rfam family: tRNA
About the family: Transfer RNA (tRNA) molecules are approximately 80 nucleotides in length. Their secondary structure includes four short double-helical elements and three loops (D, anti-codon, and T loops). Further hydrogen bonds mediate the characteristic L-shaped molecular structure. tRNAs have two regions of fundamental functional importance: the anti-codon, which is responsible for specific mRNA codon recognition, and the 3' end, to which the tRNAs corresponding amino acid is attached (by aminoacyl-tRNA synthetases). tRNAs cope with the degeneracy of the genetic code in two manners: having more than one tRNA (with a specific anti-codon) for a particular amino acid; and 'wobble' base-pairing, i.e. permitting non-standard base-pairing at the 3rd anti-codon position.
Source: RNAcentral